RNAcentral lists this long non-coding RNA (3306 nucleotides) under Limulus polyphemus (Atlantic horseshoe crab). RNAcentral describes it as "uncharacterized LOC111085152". Lineage: Eukaryota; Metazoa; Arthropoda; Merostomata; Xiphosura; Limulidae. The record is from RNAcentral.
AAAAGGGAAAAUAAAUAUUUAUUUUUCAAAAUGACAUGUUAAUAUAUAUAUAUAAAUAUUUUUGAUAUUAUUAUUAGACCAAAAGUCAAGAGGAAGUGUAACUAAACGUACACAACCUUGCUUACACUUUAAUCUACUGAAGUAAUUCUACAGGGUGGUAUAAAGGUCAUGCACAAUCAUGGUGAUUUUCUAUGUCCUGCCCUUAUAGCUGUUCGAAAUAUGUCGUUGAUAUCAUGACACAGUGUCAGUCAGGGUGUUAUAUUGCACAGGGUGUAAUUUUUCCAGGUUAUUGGGAAGUGUGAUAAAAGAAAAUGUAUAAUUGUGUAGAAUCAGGAGAGUGCAUAGUUAUUGGCAUCACAACCACUUGUUGUACAUGACUUACAAAUAUCAUAGCAAGGUCAAGAUUUAGAAAUACUAUGGUGGUGGUAUAAGAUCUUUCCAAUCACCCUUUGCUUAGUUUUUGCACAAGAAAUGAAAUUUAAAUAAUUUUAUAUAUUUAUACCAUCAUUUUUAAGGCAUUUCUUUUACAUGGUUAAAUUCCUUUACUUAAAAUGUUAAGUGGUUUUAAAUCCCUUGAUUCUCUAAUGGAUGGGAUUAGUGUAUAACACUGGUGGUGAUACUGUGUGACAAACGGCUGAUGCUAAAAUUGCACUUAAACUUAUUAAAACCAUUUUAAUCAAGCAAUGUAGUUUAUUAAAGUCCAGCUUUGUAACUUUUAAUGUUAUUGACAAGAUUUUUAUCUUGUACAAGUUUAUCAAGUUGAAAAGGUAUUUAACGUAUAUUAGUUUGACACUUUUGUCUGUAUUUGCAACUAGAAUUAACCCAGUUGAUUGUGCUUCCCCCCAAAAUAAAUGUAACAAAUAAGUUAGUCGUCUUUCAUCACGCCAGUAAAAGUGUAAUUACACGCAAUGUGAAAAAGAGGUUUAAAUCACAUUUGAAUUUAUUGUGUGAUCUUUCAGUUGUUAGACUGCUUCUAAAAGCAUACAAUUAAAACUAGUUCUCAUGUGGCAAAACCAUGUUUUCAUAUGCAUUUUGGUUAGUGAGAUAGUGUUGUUCAUACACUAAUUUCUGCUUGAUGUUCAGGAUUUUGUAGAUAAUUUUUUUUUUAUUGUUAAUAUAUUGAAAAUCUGUACAAAAUCAUAAAAAUUUGUAUGAUUCGACCUGCAUCUGGUAACUGUCAAAAAUUUAUUUUUGGAAGUAGGCCAUUUCAUUCACAUUAUAUUUAAGUCUACAAAUUUCAUCUUUAACUCCUUGUACACUGUUAUGUGAAGAACAUAACUGCCCAGAAACUACAGGUGUGAAGUCUGUGUAGUUUUUAUUUAAUAAAAAGGUGUAACAAGUAAUUCAACCAUUGUACGUCAAACAAGACUGUUAUUGGACUGUAUGGUCCAACACAGCAGUGUAAAUCUUUGGCAGCUACACUCCUUAAAAAUUUAUAAAAUUUGUCUAUAACAUAGUAAUAUCUCAACUUUAUAUGUGUAUAAUAAUGGUUGGAGACGGCUUGAAUGGGUAAUGAAGAAAAACUUUAAUACAAGCUUAACCAAACACCAAAUGUACAAUGUUUCAACAAGGUUUUACAUUUGCUGUUGUGUUAAACUUAUAUUAAAGUUUUUCUUCAUUACCCAUUCAAGCCGUCUCCAACCAUUAUUAGUCUCAAAGUGGGUUCCUCGUCAUCAAAUUUAUAUGUGUAUGGCACUUUCUAAAACUUGUAAUAGUUUUGUUCAAUUACAAAGAUUUUCAUGCUUCUAAAAGCAAGGUAAAACGAAAAUAUUGAAUCAUCUAUUUCACACUGUAAUUGUUAAUCCCAUUGCUUUAUUUACAUUGCAUUUGUUAUACAUUUUAAGCAUCCCAAAAAUGUUUAAUGAAUCAGAUUUGGUCUUUACAGCAAGUGAAUUUAUGAGCAGCACGAAAUGGUUGUAUUUUACCAAAAGUAUUCCUUUCUUGACAAAGUUACCUUUUCCCAUUAUAUAUGCAAUUGUUAUUAUAGCAUAAAGAAUUGAAUUUAAGGUUGGAUAUUUGCAUUUAAAAAGCAGGAUGAUGAUGAUGAUGAUGAUAAAUGUUUGCCUACAAAUCUCAUCCUAAAGUGGAAUACUUGUAUUAUUUUAGUGUAUAUAAUACUUUAUAUAUUUUAAAAUAUAUAUGAAAUGUAGUAGUAAAAUACAGAGUACUUUUAUUGUGGUUGAUUUUCAAAUGGUUAAAGGGUCAGUUUUUGUACAAACUUAUUAUUGGGUUGUAGAGAUAGGAUUAGAAUAACUAAAUUAGUACAUGAAGCAAAGCAGUUUUCUUAUGUUACAAAUUUUUACAUGCAUUGUUUAAUUUGUUUGUUUGUCUUCUCAGUAUAUAAUACAUCUACUAAAUAAUAGUACAUCUUCCAUAAGGCUUAAUCAAAACUAGAAACUUAAGUACUGAUUACUUUUGUAAGGUAAUAUUCUAAAAGUGGUAGUUACUUUUUAAAUUUAUUUUUAAUAUAUAAUUAUUCCUCACAAAAUGUUGAUUAGAAAGAUUGUACACUUAAAAAAACGUUUUGUAGACUCUUCCUCCAUGUUAACCUCUCUGACAGAAGUUGUGUAGAUUCAUCUGGAAAAACAGUAAACAUCUGUGAUUUUUAGUUUUCAAUUUUCAAAAAAAUCUAUUCUAUUGUAAUUGUAUAGUAGCUUCAAAACAGUGAAUAAGUUUUUAAUUUACUCAAUCCUAAGUGUUCAUUAGUCUAAGUGGUAAAUGUCUCGAGUUAAUCCCCCUAUGACAGAUGCUCUGUUUAAAAUGUAAUUUUCACAAUUAACUGCUCACUACCAUGCUCCAAAACUUUACAUAUUUUCUUAACUUUAAAAUAAUUACAACUUUUUGCACUGACUGUUUGUGUUAACCCAACCAUUAAAACGUAAGAACUUGCUGUAAUCUAGCAUUACCCAGUGGUAAGUUUCCAGACGUACAAUGAUAAAGUCUGGUGUUUUAUUCUACACUGUGGAUAGAAUGUAGAUAGCAUAUUGUGCUAAAAAAUCAACAAAAAGUAAUCCAGCAUCAUAGACAAUAUAUAUAAUGAUCUAAUUACUGUCGUUAUGGGCUAUUUGUGCUCUGUUAAUCACAGAGAAUUAAACCCUGGCUUUUAUCAUUGUAAGUUCAUAAACUUUUCACUUAUCCACCAGGGGAUACCAUUGUUUGGGUGAGAAAAGUAAUAUGUAAAUUAAUGCUGUUUUGUCACUUAAUAUAAGGGGGGAAAGAUGUUACAAGACACACUGUAUUUAAAUGUGAAUUUAGUAGUUUUUAUCCUGUAUUCCCUCGAUAAAAUAAAGAUAUAUGUUAUGGGCA